AGCUUUGUGCAGUGGCAGUAUCAUAGCCAAUGAGGUUUAUCCAACGCGAGAUUAUUGCUAAUUGAAAAACUGAUAUUGAUACGUUAUUAUUAACUGAAGCUCAUGCUUUAUACAGAUUAUUUUUGAUUUCUAAAAAUUUAA
Molecule: small nuclear RNA, 141 nt
Organism: Neogale vison (American mink)
Lineage: Eukaryota; Metazoa; Chordata; Mammalia; Carnivora; Mustelidae
Product: U4 spliceosomal RNA
Exons: 1
Source: RefSeq, a predicted model, not a curated record